AGGUGGCGAGCGUUGUCCGGAAUUACUGGGUGUAAAGGGAGCGUAGGCGGGUACGCAAGUUGAAUGUGAAAACUAUGGGCUCAACCGAUAGUUGCGUUCAAAACUGCGAAUCUUGAGUGAAGUAGAGGCAGGCGGAAUUCCUAGUGUAGCGGUAAAAUGCGUAGAUAUUAGGAGGAACACCAGUGGCGAAGGCGGCCUGCUGGGCUUUAACUGACGCUGAGGCUCGAAAGUGUGGGGAGCAA
This 242-nucleotide ribosomal RNA is filed under the name uncultured bacterium. RNAcentral describes it as "partial 16S ribosomal RNA". It matches the Rfam family "Bacterial small subunit ribosomal RNA", at positions 529 to 771 of the family's 1533-position model. The record is from RNAcentral.